This 3587-nucleotide long non-coding RNA is filed under the name Gossypium barbadense (sea-island cotton). RNAcentral describes it as "long non-coding RNA (GBAR_LNC013720)". The record is from RNAcentral. Lineage: Eukaryota; Viridiplantae; Streptophyta; Magnoliopsida; Malvales; Malvaceae.
AACAGGGUGUUGCGUCUCCCUCCUCUGAGGUAUGGCUCUGUUUCUUUAACUUUAGCAUUGAGCGACUCUUUUCAAGUCCAAAAUUAGUCUACUCAGCUUUGAAUUUAGGCCUAUUUUUGCACAGUUACGGUCUUUUUGGGGGUUCUUUGUUUUUUGUUGGUUUGGUUAAAUCAUGUUCUGCUAUUUGGAUUUAAACAAAAAAAAAGAGAAAGACAAUGACGAUUGUUAAGCCAAUUGUGAAAAAGCAGUAGCAACAGCAACCGAAUGCAGACCAAACAUUUUUUCUUUGCUAAGGGUUCUUGCUUUUCAAACCAUUUUUUCGCCAUUUUUUUUGUAGUUGUUUUUCUUGUUACAGUUCAGAUUUUAGAUUUUUUGGUUGUUUUAAAAAUUCAUGUUUUAAUAAUUCUGUCUUCUUGUGAAAGUUUGUAGCAGUUUGUUGAAUCAUGCUUCUUGUUGAUUUAACGUUGUAAAUUCCGUGAACAAGACUAAACCUUUACUGCUGAUUUCAAUGACAUAGCUGCAGCUGUAAUUCACUGCUGAUUCUUGCGAUCCGGGCAUGCAUGCUCUGUUAGCGGCUUGACUUGCAGUCUGGAAGGAUUAAUUCACUGCUGAUUCUUGUGAUCCACUGCUUCAUUUUUUCUCUCGGUCUCAGCGUUUGGUUUGAGGUAUGAAUCUUGAACUUUUCAUUUCUUUGCCUGCCUUUGCCUUGGAUUGUGGCAUGUUCAUGUGUGUAGUCUUCUACCGGAUUCACCAAUUGUAUUAUGUUUGAUAUGUGGUUUGAAACACUGAAAAAUUGUACUGCUGGACAGUGAGAUUUUGUUUGAAAUUUUGACUGUUAUACUUUGUUGUUUCAUCUUGUUUUUUGACAAGUAUAAUAAUUUUUCUGUUAUACUUUGUUGUUUCGGAAAAUACAUAGCCGUUGUGAUGUGUUGUUAGAAAUAAAUUGUUUGGAAGCAUUGUAUCAUGUUAAGGGCACUCUAAUGAUACAACAACUGAAUUCGUAUGUCAUUCAUAAAUCCCUAUUAAGGUAAACACCGUUGUUAUAAGCUGUAAGCCUGUGUUUACAUUCUCAACUCCCCUAUUAAUGUGCUCCCCACCUGUCUGCAAUUUUAUCUUCUAAAAAAGGUAGUGAUAUUAUUAUGCAAGUCAAAGGUGGCAAGCGAUAUUUGGAGAGCUACAUGGCCCCAUUUGCCAGCCAAUUUGCUUGCAUGAAAUGACAACCAGAUGAUAAAACUCGACGCCAACCCUUGUUUAUUAGGAGCUUCAAUUUGGACUUGCCAGAAUAUCACUGUUAUUGGAAGAAACUUAUUAGCUUAAGGGUAAUGUGAAAUUUCUACUGGGGGUUGGUUAUUAGUUCCAUCUGAAUUGGUUUGGGUUUAGAGAUAAUAAUUUUAUUGGAAAUGAGUUGUUGAACUCGAUUAACAAAAUGUGUAAACCAAGAAUAAGAAAACCCAAUCAUGUUGGACGAACUGUUGAAUAAAAGAACAAACAAUCUCUGUUUAUACAAAUGAAAAAGGGUUGUCAAUCUUUGGACUCUUGUUUUUGUUUUUGUUUUUUGUGAUCCACCAUGUCAUUACCACUCUAAAAUUUGGAUCAAGUAUUAAUUCCUACCCAACAUCCAAGCAGCAUUAUUGGGACCUUGUUUCCAUUAUUCCAUUACAUAAGCAAUUUUGCGUUUUAUGACCCUACCUUUUGCCUUUGAUAAUUGCACCCACAGUCCCCCUCUUAUUAUAGGAAAAUCAACUUCCAAUGCCAAUAUUUCGUUUUAUUUGAUUUGAUUAUUCAAAGAUAUUUCAAUUUGUUUCUUCUUCUUUUCUUUUCUUUUUUACCUAAUAGAAGAUGGCUUAGGGUAUGUUAAUUAUGCGUUUAGGUCAAGUUUAUGGCAUGCGUUGAUAUGUGGUUUGAAACACUGAAAAAUUGUACUGCUGGACAGUGAGAUUUUGUAUGAAAUUUUGACUGUUAUACUUUGUUGUUUCAUCUUGUUUUUUGACAAGUAUAAUAAUUUUUCUGUUAUACUUUGUUGUUUCGGAAAAUCCAUAGCCGUUGUGAUGUGUUGUUAGAAAUAAAUUGUUUGGAAGUAUUGCAUCAUGUUAAGGGUACUCUAAUGAUACAACAACUGAAUUCGUAUGUCAUUCAUGCCAUUGGACACUUGUUGCAUUGAUAUUGAGAUAUUGGUAUUACACAUAUGCAUUGAGAAUGCGAUAGGAUGGCUAAUUGCUUAACAAAGGCUACAAAAGGAGUCCAUCAUUAGCUUUUACUCUUGUCCCGACCUCUUGAUUUUGCUUUCAUGUAUCUAUAUGUUUAGCAUAUACUUUUCAAAAUGUGUAUAUAUACAUAUGUGUGUGUGUUCAACGUCUACUUUGACCUAAAGAAUGAAAAAUAGUUACAAUUUAAAUUUGAUAAUACUUUUAAAAAUAUGUAUAUAUAUGUAUUUAUUUAGUACAUAAUUACUUUCGGAAUUUAUUAAAACUGUUAUAAUGUUUCAAAAUUUAAGAAUUACAUAACAUGUUUAAAAUUAAUUAUGAUCUUCUAGAAAAUAUGUUAAACUACAUUUUAAAAUUUUCAAUUAAAUUAACUUUUAAAAAUGAGAGCUGUAGAACAAGAUAGGAGUAUUGCGUACUUCUAAAUAUUUAAUUUAAAAUUUAAAAACGGAAUCCGAUUAGUAACAUAAUGCAAAAAAUAUAAUUUUUAAACAAUCUUUAAAAACAAUAACCUUUACCUUAAACUAUUGUUUUAAAAAUGUACACAUUAUUCAUAUGAAAUUUUAAAAUUUUUUAUAACAUACAGUAUUAGAAUAUAAUGUUUUUACAUGUUUAUGGAACGUAAAUAUAUUAUAACAAUAUUUUUGAGAUACUAUAAAUUCAUUUUUCACAAUAUUACUUAAAAAUAAAAUAAAUAUUAAUCCAUACAACUAUCCUUCUUGUCUACUGAAAUUCUAUUACUCUAAAAGGAAAAAAGAAUGCAAUAAGUAAAUCUGAAUAUAUGGACUAUUAUCAAAACGUUUCAAUACUUUAUUAGCCACAUGAAAAGCAAAAAUUGCAAACAAAGGCAGACCAUAUUUUCAUACCUGCCAAUACACCAGUAGUCUCACUCAUCCUCCUCCUCUUCUUCUUCAGCCUCUCUCAACCACUUUAAAAGGGGAAAGAUGAGCAAAUAUUAACAAUCUUCAUUUCACCGACUGCCAAAUAGAAAAGUCCACUAUGAGAUGUCAGUUUUGACAUGUAAUAAAAACAGACAAGUCACCCCACCCAUCUGAUGAAGUGAUACAUAGAAGAAAUUAAAUGUAGCAGUAAAACAAGUUCAAGAAUCUUUAGAAAUGCCCUAUGGCAGCUGCAAUCUCUGUAUGUUCCAUUACCCAUAACAAAUAAUAUGUUUUAAAUCACUCCUAAGUUAUAUAUAUUUUUACAAAAUGAAAUUUAAAUUUUAAAUGUUAAAAAAGUUUUGUGUGUUUAUUUUUAUUUAAAUUUUGUGCUGUUUAUUUUUAUUUGAUAAUGUGUAAUUGCAACUUCAAUUCUUUGAUAGUGUGUUCUAAUUUUAAAAUGUUGCAGUAAUGGCUCGUCUACCUUUAAUUGCACAAAGUGUGAGGC